ACGAACGCUGGCGGCGUGCCUAAUACAUGCAAGUCGAGCGGACCUUCGGGGUUAGCGGCGGACGGGUGAGUAACACGUGGGUAAUCUGCCCAACUGACUGGAAUAACGCCUGGAAACGGGUGCUAAUGCCGGAUAGGCAACUGGUAGGCAUCUACCGGUUGGGAAAGGUGCAACUGCACCGCAGAUGGAGGAGCCCGCGGCGCAUUAGCUAGUUGGUGGGGUAACGGCCUACCAAGGCGACGAUGCGUAGCCGACCUGAGAGGGUGGACGGCCACACUGGGACUGAGACACGGCCCAGACUCCUACGGGAGGCAGCAGUAGGGAAUCUUCCGCAAUGGGCGCAAGCCUGACGGAGCAACGCCGCGUGAGCGAAGAAGGCCUUCGGGUUGUAAAGCUCAGUCACUCGGGAAGAGCGGAUGAGGGAGUGGAAAGCCCUCAUCGAGACGGUACCGAGAGAGGAAGCCCCGGCUAACUACGUG
RNAcentral lists this ribosomal RNA (479 nucleotides) under uncultured bacterium. Its description in RNAcentral is "bacterial SSU rRNA". It matches the Rfam family "Bacterial small subunit ribosomal RNA", at positions 29 to 507 of the family's 1533-position model. The record is from RNAcentral.